CCAACUCCUCACGUCUCUCUCGCUCAUUCUCUCUCUAUUUUUCUCCUCUCCCCGUACGAGAGCAGCCGAGUGCCCCCAAUUGCCAUUGACACGGGCGCCGCUCCGGCCGGCCGCCGUUGCCAAUUGCCAUUGACACGGGCGCCGCUCCGGCCGGCCGCCGUUCUUCUCCGGCCUCGCCGCUGGUCAGAUUUGUUCCGCCGCCAUGUGCUCUACCCCCACCAUCUUUUCGAUUUGUUAUUCACGACCCCGCUCGCAUGCAUCUCCUGCGAUGCCGCCGCCGCGCACCACCUCAUUCCCGACGGUCUCAGCCCUCACCGACGCCGGCGAGGUGGGAGUCUUGCUCGCCUCGACGUGCUCUACAACCUGAUCCCGCUCUAUUUAAUCCUCGCUGCUUCUUUCGUCCACCCCAACCCCGAGAACCCUAACUUUACUGCUGAGCAAUUCGACCGUCGCCGGCCUCUUCUGGCGCCGCCGUCUGCCGGCGCGGAUCCGGCAGGGUAUCCUCCGUUCUGGUUCGACCAUGCUAUUGGUCAUGUUCCAGGUGCCAUUCUUGGCUCGCCAUGACUACUGCUACUCGACCCUGGCGGAACAGCGAUGUGUUUGCAACCCCGGCGUCCGUGUACUGAUGGUGUGGUGCUGGUGUGGAGAUGAGGUGCUGAUGCUUGGAUGGUGUCGUGGUGGCGCUGGUGUGGUGGUGUACUGAUGGUGAUGCUGCUGAGACAAUAUUGCCGUGUCACCUACUGCAGCCCCGACGCCAGCGGGAUGGCACUGAAGAUCUAACCUCGGCGUCGACUACCCCGCCUAUGCCAUGUAUUGCAUUGUGAGCUAAAUUCCACUCCUCUCCACUCUGUCUAUGACCAUGUCUUGGCGGGUUGUACUUGUGUGUGGUUACUUGGUUAGCCAUUUAGAGGAGCUUGGUACUGGUUCUAUAAUUCUAAUGGUCAUAGGCUGCUGAUCUUACGCUAAUUAAUUUAUAGUGAAGUGGUUCUUGGUUCCUACGAGUGAGCAUAAGCAAAUGCUCAAAAUUGACUUGCUGAUGCUAGUGUUUUUAAUUCAUCUAGUAGUUAAACAUUGAUCUACAUGUUUUGGUAACUUUUGGGAUGAAGAAAUAAAUAGGACAAAUGUUGCUGCGGGUAAAAUGACUAUAUGCAUCUUAUAAUGCAUAUAAUCCACAUAUAUUUAUAUAGGUUAAUCAAGUUGUAACUGCUGUGUUGUUUGUGCUGGUAAAGCCUUGAUCAAAUUGGUCAAUGCCUUGUGCUUAAGUUGGUGCCUCAAUUUGGAUGACCUGAUCAUCCACGGCUUGUGUGGCUUCUUGCUAUUUCAUCUUUGAACAAACUGACCUUUAUCGGGUGGUGAACUGGAGAGUUCAGUUAUGCCUUUGUUUAUCUCAUUGAUUAGUUGAGAUAUGUUAGAAUACAAACGCUGGUGUUUAUAGGAAUAUUAUUCACUUGUUACAUUGCUUGGUGAGAUCAUAUUAAUGCUCAUGGUGCUUUUGCUGCUGGAUCAAAUUAAUCCACUGAUCACUAUUAUGUUAUGUAACAGAUAUAUGUAUGUGCUAUGCGAAGUGGAUACUUGACCAUUUCCAGGACAUGGUUUACUUGUGGGCUUGAUGUAUUUGGAUGGGUCUUACUUAAACAAGAGAUGAUAAUCUUCAAGUUUAGUUUAGGAUUUGAUUUUCUUUUCUUAUACUUGUAAUUGUAACUAUAUUCUUAUUCUUUAUUAUUUUUGUAAAGACUUUGUAUUUUUGUGUUAAUAUUAAUAAAGAAAUGUUUUCCU
Lolium perenne is the source of this 1776-nucleotide non-coding RNA. The record is from RefSeq and is a predicted model, not a curated record. Lineage: Eukaryota; Viridiplantae; Streptophyta; Magnoliopsida; Poales; Poaceae.